Molecule: ribosomal RNA, 465 nt
Filed under: Vreelandella stevensii
Lineage: Bacteria; Pseudomonadati; Pseudomonadota; Gammaproteobacteria; Oceanospirillales; Halomonadaceae
Description: partial 16S ribosomal RNA
Rfam family: Bacterial small subunit ribosomal RNA
Source: RNAcentral
CCUACGGGCGGCUGCAGUGGGGAAUAUUGGACAAUGGGGGCAACCCUGAUCCAGCCAUGCCGCGUGUGUGAAGAAGGCCCUCGGGUUGUAAAGCACUUUCAGUGAGGAAGAACGCCUGGUGGUUUAUACCCAUCAGGAAAGACAUCACUCACAGAAGAAGCACCGGCUAACUCCGUGCCAGCAGCCGCGGUAAUACGGAGGGUGCGAGCGUUAAUCGGAAUUACUGGGCGUAAAGCGCGCGUAGGUGGCUUGAUAAGCCGGUUAUGAAAGCCCCGGGCUCAACCUGGGAACGGCAUCCGGAACUGUCAAGCUAGAGUGCAGGAGAGGAAGGUAGAAUUCCCGGUGUAGCGGUGAAAUGCGUAGAGAUCGGGAGGAAUACCAGUGGCGAAGGCGGCCUUCUGGACUGACACUGACACUGAGGUGCGAAAGCGUGGGUAGCAAACAGGAUUAGAUACCCUUGUAGUC